This 404-nucleotide ribosomal RNA is filed under the name Actinomycetes bacterium. RNAcentral's name for it is "Actinobacteria bacterium partial 16S ribosomal RNA". It matches the Rfam family "Bacterial small subunit ribosomal RNA", at positions 355 to 776 of the family's 1533-position model. Lineage: Bacteria; Bacillati; Actinomycetota; Actinomycetes. The record is from RNAcentral.
UGGGGAAUAUUGGACAAUGGGCGCAAGCCUGAUCCAGCCAUGCCGCGUGAGUGAUGAAGGCCCUAGGGUUGUAAAGCUCUUUCACCGGUGAAGAUAAUGACGGUAACCGGAGAAGAAGCCCCGGCUAACUUCGUGCCAGCAGCCGCGGUAAUACGAAGGGGGCUAGCGUUGUUCGGAUUUACUGGGCGUAAAGCGCACGUAGGCGGACUAUUAAGUCAGGGGUGAAAUCCCGGGGCUCAACCCCGGAACUGCCUUUGAUACUGGUAGUCUUGAGUUCGAGAGAGGUGAGUGGAAUUCCGAGUGUAGAGGUGAAAGUCGUAGAUAUUCGGAGGAACACCAGUGGCGAAGGCGGCUCACUGGCUCGAUACUGGCGCUGAGGUGCGAAAGCGUGGGGAGCAAACAGG